This 103-nucleotide microRNA precursor is filed under the name Picea abies (Norway spruce). RNAcentral's name for it is "miR11448 stem-loop (pab-MIR11448)". The record is from miRBase by way of RNAcentral. Lineage: Eukaryota; Viridiplantae; Streptophyta; Pinopsida; Pinales; Pinaceae.
CCACAGAGUUCUUGUGUGUACCGAGGCGCUUGAGGGUGCGCCGUUAGAUGAGGGAUCCAACGGCGCACCUUCAAGUGCUCCGGGAUCCACGAGAAAUCUGUGG